UCGGUAAGCUGAUAUGAAGCGUACUAGCCGGCGAUGUCCGAAUGGGGAAACCCAGUGCAUCAAUGCACUAUCGUUUGAUGAAUUCAUAGUCAAACGAGGCGAACCGGGGGAAUUGAAACAUCUCAGUACCCCGAGGAAAAAAAAUCAACCGAGAUUCCCCCAGUAGCGGCGAGCGAACGGGGAGCAGCCCAGAGUCAACAUCAAUAUUUACCGCAGGAGAAGGGUCUGGAAAAGUCGGCAAUAAAGGGUGAUAGCCCCGUAUCUGAAACGGUAAGUGUUGUGAACUCGAAGAGUAGGGCGGGACACGUGUUAUCCUGUCUGAAUAUGGGGGGACCAUCCUCCAAGGCUAAAUACUCCUGACUGACCGAUAGUGAACCAGUUCCGUGAGGGAAAGGCGAAAAGAACCCCGGCGAGGGGAGUGAAAUUGAACCUAAAACCGUGUACGUACAAACAGUGGGAGCCCCCAAAAGGGUGUGACUGCGUACCUUUUGUAUAAUGGGUCAGCGACUUAUAUUCUGUAGCAAGGUUAACCGGAUAGGGGAGCCGUAGAGAAACCGAGUCUUAACUGGGCGUUAAGUUGCAGGGUAUAGACCCGAAACCCGGUGAUCUAGCCAUGAGCAGGUUGAAGGUUGGGUAACACUAACUGGAGGACCGGA
RNAcentral lists this ribosomal RNA (656 nucleotides) under Arsenophonus endosymbiont of Bemisia tabaci. Its description in RNAcentral is "partial 23S ribosomal RNA". It matches the Rfam family "Bacterial large subunit ribosomal RNA", at positions 78 to 778 of the family's 2925-position model. Lineage: Bacteria; Pseudomonadati; Pseudomonadota; Gammaproteobacteria; Enterobacterales; Morganellaceae. The record is from RNAcentral.